This is a long non-coding RNA of Corapipo altera (White-ruffed manakin), 1562 nucleotides long. RefSeq lists it as uncharacterized. The record is from RefSeq and is a predicted model, not a curated record. NCBI's taxonomy places the organism in Eukaryota, Metazoa, Chordata, Aves, Passeriformes, Pipridae. The transcript is spliced from 5 exons.
GCUGCAGGGGGCUGGGUAACACCCGUGCCCACGGUGCCACCUCGCUGUGCUGGAGAGUCACUCCCUGUGCCAGACCCACCGCCGGGCAGGGCAGCAGUGAUAUUCCCGUCUGCCAUCGGAGCCACACGGAGCCUUUUCCCUUUUCCCUCUCCGCUGCCCAUGAGUGCAACCCAGCAACUGCUGACUGGAACGUUUCUAUUGUGGAGUUUAUGCUAAAUAUGCAUAUCUUAAUUGCAUUAGUCAAAAUAAUUAGCUAAUAUAUUUUUGCAUAAUGACGAGGUAAGCAAAUAUCACCAUAGCUCAGUGCUUCGUGCCUGAGUAAAUUUGGGAAAUUAAUAGACUCCCAAUUUCCUAAUUAUCUGCCUUUUAUUCCAAACUCCAACAACGAAACGCUCCUGCGUUUUGUCAUUUACUUUGCGCCUUGGAAAUUUUUAAGCACCUGGUUUUCCCUUUUUUCCCCCCACUUUAACAAGGAAAUGGGAGCCAUCCUUCCUCCCCUUCCCUGUUUUAGGCACUCAGAGUGGUGGAUCACAAAGUCAUGAGCUUCCUGAUUUCCAGACAGAGCUCGAGUAGGAAUUGGAACAAGGCAUUUUAGACUUAAAAAUAUGCAUUUAGUUGGAAAAGAAUUAAAAAUUAAAUUUAAAGUCUGAAAAGAAUUAAAAAUUAAUUCUUUGGAUGGGAAAAUGGGCAGUGAUGUUUGGGCAUUUAAUCCCUCUGGAGGUGGAUUGUUUUUCGAGGGGUGUUUGCAGAAGUGCAAGGCUGGAGUGUUCCUAAAUCCCUAAAAACCCCCACGUAAUCCUGAAAAUUGCACCAAAAAAAAGGUAUUUAAAGAAAGUGUUUUUUCCAACAACAGUUUUUGUGCAUCUCUAAUUUGCCCGUUUUCCUUUGUUUUCUGGUGAUGCAGGACUCAGGUCUUCUCCUUUCCCUGGAUCAAGAGCCAGAGGUGCUGCUGCCCAGACGGGAUUCCCUGGGAAUGGGGCCGGUAUCCGGACCAUGGGAUGUGGGCACCCUCGGCACGACACCUGGCUGAAAAGAAUCAGGAGCCCCAUCCUGCCACCAUCCUUUCCUUUCUGCAGCCUCUUCCUGGAUGAGGAUGGAAGCAAGCGCCCAGCUGGAGUGUGCCCAGCUCCAGCCAGGGAGAGGGAGAGCAGGCAAGGCAGGAGCACUUGGGAAAAUGGAUGGAAUGGCUGUCUGCUGCUGCCAGAUGUGUGAGCGAAAGCAGAUGUGACAGAUAAGCUGAGAACACCCGCGUCAGCUCACCCAAGGGCUGGGGGAGCAGCUUCCCGACCUGCUGGAGAGAGAGACACCGAGGGCGGCGGGGGGUCAUAAAUCAGAGGCCCCGCUCCCAGCGUGGGGCACGUUCUGCCCAAAAAAGAGAAAAAAGAAAGCCGAGACAUCACCAGUGACCCGACAGAUGCCGGGAGAAGCUCCGGCCGCGGGGCUGCGGAGGAUGAUGGAUGCCGGGAGUGUGAACGGGAGAUGUGAGACACGAGCCCCGCUCCGGGAGAGGCAAAUCUUAUUUGGGAGAAGUUCUUUUAAACAAGCCUGUCCUGCUGAUGGUG